This 497-nucleotide ribosomal RNA is filed under the name uncultured bacterium. Its description in RNAcentral is "partial 16S ribosomal RNA". It matches the Rfam family "Bacterial small subunit ribosomal RNA", at positions 28 to 507 of the family's 1533-position model. The record is from RNAcentral.
GAUGAACGCUGGCGGCGUGCCUAAUACAUGCGAGUCGAGCGAACGGACGAGAAGCUUGCUUCUCUGAUGUUAGCGGCGGACGGGUGAGUAACACGUGGAUAACCUACCUAUAAGACUGGGAUAACUUCGGGAAACCGGAGCUAAUACCGGAUGAUAUUUUGAACCGCAUGGUUCAAAAGUGAAAGACGGUCUUGCUGUCACUUAUAGAUGGAUCCGCGCUGCAUUAGCUAGUUGGUAAGGUAAUGGCUUACCAAGGCAACGAUGCAUAGCCGACCUGAGAGGGUGAUCGGCCACACUGGAACUGAGACACGGUCCAGACUCCUACGGGAGGCAGCAGUAGGGAAUCUUCCGCAAUGGGCGAAAGCCUGACGGAGCAACGCCGCGUGAGUGAUGAAGGUCUUCGGAUCGUAAAACUCUGUUAUUAGGGAAGAACAUAUGUGUAAGUAACUGUGCACAUCUUGACGGUACCUAAUCAGAAAGCCACGGCUAACUACGUG